Molecule: transfer RNA, 62 nt
Filed under: Leptestheria brevirostris
Lineage: Eukaryota; Metazoa; Arthropoda; Branchiopoda; Diplostraca; Leptestheriidae
Description: tRNA-Cys
Source: RNAcentral
GAUUUGGUAGUUUAUUUAAAACGUGAGGUUGCAAUUCUCAAGUAGCCGUGGGGCUCAAAUCU